GGACGAGUGGCGGAAUUGGCAUACGCGUACGUUUCAGAAGCGUAUCUCGCAAGAGGUGGGGGUUCAACUCCCCCCUCGUCCA
This 82-nucleotide transfer RNA is filed under the name Candidatus Roizmanbacteria bacterium CG_4_10_14_0_8_um_filter_33_9. Its description in RNAcentral is "tRNA-Leu". It matches the Rfam family "tRNA". Rfam says of the family: Transfer RNA (tRNA) molecules are approximately 80 nucleotides in length. Their secondary structure includes four short double-helical elements and three loops (D, anti-codon, and T loops). The record is from RNAcentral. Lineage: Bacteria; Candidatus Roizmaniibacteriota.